GAGACCCACGCCAACAGUUGCCAGCAUGUCCUCCGGGAUGGUGGGGACACUGUUGGGACCGCCUCUGCUAAAGAGGAGGAAGGAAUGGGCAACGGUAGGUCAGCAUGCCCCGAAUUAUCCGGGCUACACGCGGGCUACAAUGGUCAGGACAAUGGGUAUCGACACCGAGAGGUGAAGGCAAUCUCUUAAACCUGUCCUUAGUUCGGAUUGUGGGCUGCAACUCGCCCACAUGAAGCUGGAAUCCGUAGUAAUCGCGCUUCAAAAGAGCGCGGUGAAUAC
RNAcentral lists this ribosomal RNA (279 nucleotides) under uncultured archaeon. RNAcentral describes it as "partial 16S rRNA". It matches the Rfam family "Archaeal small subunit ribosomal RNA", at positions 1047 to 1325 of the family's 1478-position model. The record is from RNAcentral.